AUACGUAGGGGACGAGCGUUGUCCGGAAUUACUGGGCGUAAAGGGCGCGCAGGCGGAUAUUUAAGUCGGCUGUAAAAGGCAUGAGCUCAACUCAUGUAUGCGGUUGAAACUGGGUAUCUAGAGUGCUGGAGAGGUAGGCGGAAUUUCCGGUGUAGCGGGGAAAUGCGUAGAUAUCGGGAAGAACACCAGUGGCGAAGGCGGCUUACUGGCCAGCAACUGACGCUGAGGCGCGAAAGCCAGGGGAGCGAACGGGAUUAGAUACCCCGGUAGUCCUGGCCGUAAACGAUGAAUGCUAGGUGUGGGUGUCGAGAGGCAUCCGUGCCGGAGUUAACGCGAUAAGCAUUCCGCCUGGGGAGUACGAUCGCAAGAUUGAAACUCAAAGGAAUUGACGGGG
Molecule: ribosomal RNA, 394 nt
Filed under: uncultured bacterium
Lineage: Bacteria
Description: partial 16S ribosomal RNA
Rfam family: Bacterial small subunit ribosomal RNA
Source: RNAcentral